CAUUGUCAACUCCACUUGAAAUAGACAGUUGAAAUUAGACGAACAAAAACUAAAAUGAAAGUCAUCAUCUUCGCAAUUUUGCUUGCUGUAGUUUGCGCUGUUACCCUUACUGUAGCCUGUCCAACAGACGGUACCGUCGGCGGAGAUGCUACGAAUACUACUCGAGGCGGAGCAGAUAUUGUGGAAACACCUUUGUCUUCUGAGCAACAGCAGAAAUUUCAAAAUAUUUCUGAAGGAGCCCAACAAUAUAAUCGCUAAACCUGUGAAUAAUGCUUUAAUUUCGUAAGACCUUUGCGAUGCUCCCAAUACUUGAACAUCUUGAUAGCAAACUGGAAUUAUUAAAUUAAAUGUGAAGUAAAUGUUAGAGUUUUGCAGAAUUGCAAUGGAAAAUCCAAUUUUGACGCACAGUUUACUGAAUUUCUUUUAUCGCACAGAAUUGUACACGUUUUUAUGCAACAUUUUUAUUGAAAUCUAUUGAAAUAAAAGAAA
Molecule: long non-coding RNA, 489 nt
Organism: Sitodiplosis mosellana (orange wheat blossom midge)
Lineage: Eukaryota; Metazoa; Arthropoda; Insecta; Diptera; Cecidomyiidae
Exons: 3
Source: RefSeq, a predicted model, not a curated record